UUUUAAGUGAGUGUAGCGAUAAUUGGUAGUUAGAUUAAAUCUUCUUUAGCUAGCCCGUGUGGGACAAUAUCUUCCCUUUCCCAGACCCCUUGCCCCAACUCUCGCUCGAUUGCCAAGCUCCGGAGCUGCCCCAGCUCCGGCCGUUCCUCCCUUCGCCCGACACCCUCCCCCCUCCGGCAACCACCCAGAUCCAGCCCUUCCCUCUUCGCCCAACGAUCUGCUUUAAAUCUAUUCGAGCCCUCCUGUGGCCCAGAACACCUCUUCCACUUCCUCCUGCUUUAAUCCCUCCCACUCGCCUUCGGCGCGACCCUCCCCGUACUCUUGCUCAUGCAGAAGAUUUGCAUAACCAUCCGUACACCAUGUGCUCAUAGAUAUGGUUUCUACUGCUGCAAAUGCUACACUAGAUUUGGGAAGAUACAUUCCCCUUAGUUGAACAAAAGCUGCUCUUACAACUGAAAGUAGUUCUGUGUUGAGUUGUUAUUUCCUUUCUAUGACAAUAAGUGAUGAAAUUGAAUGAGUGGCUUCCAGAUUGCUCAUUUGGUGCAAAUUUGGAUCAAUGGAAGCUGCAGUAAAGGUAUGUUAUUUGAAUUAUCUUGUCAGGUUGGUAUGUUAUUUGAUCAAUGGAAGAUGUGAUGAAUUUCAUAUGGUUUCAUAGUUUUUUAGAUAUACCAGUUUAGUGUAAUUUUUAUGGAUGCACAUUUUCUUGUCAUGUUAUUCUCAUGCCUUUU
Long non-coding RNA from Durio zibethinus, 728 nucleotides. RefSeq lists it as uncharacterized. The record is from RefSeq and is a predicted model, not a curated record. NCBI's taxonomy places the organism in Eukaryota, Viridiplantae, Streptophyta, Magnoliopsida, Malvales, Malvaceae.